Rhododendron vialii is the source of this 2512-nucleotide long non-coding RNA. RefSeq lists it as uncharacterized. The record is from RefSeq and is a predicted model, not a curated record. NCBI's taxonomy places the organism in Eukaryota, Viridiplantae, Streptophyta, Magnoliopsida, Ericales, Ericaceae. The transcript is spliced from 2 exons.
GGUGUUCACCUUUUCUGGAGAGUGUAUUUCUAUCAAGUGAUGGUGUCAUGGCCUCUCAUGAAUGGAAAACAGUUCCGGAUAUUUGGAGGUCUUCAGCAGAAAAAUUUGGUGAUCGGGUAGCAGUGGUGGAUCCAUAUCAAGACCCUCCUUUGACUGUGACUUAUAAACAGGUCAUUUUGACAAUUUGACUUAAUGUUUCUUUGUAUCUGUAUCUAAGGUCUAUCAGAAAGUCUUUAUCCUCAGCCUAUUACCACUCACUAAAUAAUCUAAUUCUUAAUUGAAUUCAUCUGUAUACUGAUGGAAGACCUCUUAGAUUAAUUUCUGUUUCUCCUUAAGAUUCUUGUGAUUGUUUGCAUGAUUUCAUGAUCAUUCCAUUGACAAAGCAGGAUUAGUCAACUCAAUUGCAAUUCUUUGAGUUUUGGGCUCCGCGAAUGCACAAGACACUCAACUUGGUGAACAUCAGCCCCCUUCUUCGUUCUUUUCAGCAGUAUAAGCGUGCAUUAACAAAAAUUUAUGGAUAUAGAAUGAGGCUCGAUGACGAUAAAAGAAAGCUCCCGCAAAGCCCGAGAGGCUACUUGAUUAAGACAAGGAAAACAAACUUUAGAAGAUGGAAUCCAACACAGCCUACUAUUUCUUAGAAAACUUUCGGGUGGAUUACUUGGGCUUCAUAAUUAGAGAUGGAAAAGUGUUUAGGGUGUUAAAAUAACCGUAAUACAUAUAAUACUUGUUUAUAUAUACACUGGGGAUACAAGAUACAAAAUUAAUCAAAUGCCUUUUACUCACUACUACUUAUUUCAUAUACUCCUAACAGGCUUAAUAGAGAGGGUAGCUUUUUCCUCUAGCAAGCUUAAAAUGUUCAACUUUUUGUAAGGGCUUCUUUAGGUUGUUACUUCUUAAAGCCGGGGCCUUCCGUUGGCCAUCAAAUCACCGCUCAGGAGGGCCUUGGACGCCCUCUAGGAUGUCAAGAUCAACGCAUAGGUAGCUCUGGACCAUCUUCGGAUGUUGUAUUAGUGAUGCUGUGGCCCUGGAGGAGUGCUACUUUAGGCAUUUUAAGCCUAGAGUGGCAAAAUCGUAAUUUUGUGACGGAGGAGUUUUAAGUCGGGCCCACCUAUGUUCGAUGCGAAACAGCCCCGCGGUCAAGACACAUUGCCUUCGGCCAUGUGCCGCGUGUUUUUUAGCCGUUUAAUGAUGUUUAGCCGAAAUUGCCAAAUUUGCCGUUUAGGGAAAGAUUUGACUUGCCUAUUUAUUGGGCUUGGAAAAUCCAAAUUAAGCGGUUCUUUUGGAGAAUUUCUUAGAAUUUUCUAUAUUUUCUGAUUAUGUAAUAAUUGCUGAACUUUCCGUUUUUGGCAAAAUUUCCAUUAAUUAGUUCUUUGGUUGAUUCGCCUUCCUUGUUGAUCGAAUCAAUUAGGGUUUUUGGUUCCUGCCUAUUUAUAAUAAGUUGUACGCUUCCGAAUGGGGGGUGAUUAUUGAUUAUUGAAUAAAAUCAGAGUCAGAGAACAUUUUUCUCUAACUUAUAUCUUUUGUGUUAAUCUUUGUUGCACGUUCUUUUCUGUGGUUCAUUGUAGAGACCCGUUCCUAAUUUGAAUUUAUUUAAUUUAAUAAUGUAGAUAUGUGUAACUAUUUUAAUAAUUUUGUGAACCAUGGAUUUUUUUAUGUAUAUAUGUGUGAAUGUGCAGUAUGCGUGAUUGAUCGGAUUCAAUUUUGUGUGCCAAGGACGAGUUGUUGGGAUCCACAUGUUAUGGACUUUUCUGGAAAAAAAAAAGAACUUGAGAGUUACUAAUUAUUAUAGAUUUGUUAGCUUUAGGGGCUUUAGUGUAUUGAUUUAAAACAUUUUAGAGAUGCAGCAAUUGAUUGAUUCUCGGAGGGGCUAUAGUGCAAUUAUGCACUUAAAAAGGGGGAAAGAACAGGGAACACCCGUUCCUUUUUUUUUUUCCCCUUUUCUGCGUUCUUCUUCCCCACUCUUUUAUCCGUGUCUCUCUCCUACUCAACUCUACCCAAACCCUAGACUUCAACCCCAAAAUUGGAUGUCAAGAUUCGAGAAUAUCGCAAAAAGGGAAGAAGAGAAUGUGAUCUACGGAUAGAGGACUACGCAUCUAUCCCAACAAUGUCGCAUUCGGCCAACUUUGGUGUUCCUAGCAUUUCGGGAUUCGGCUCUUUUGAGCCGGAAGUAUAUGGAUAAUGAGUUUAUCCGUCGGUGUAUAGUCCGUAAACCCGCGCGGGAUAAGGUGUUCCAUAGGCCUUUGGGUUAGUAGCCCAUAAAUUUGGAUGAUUAGGGAUCUGAUCAGUCGCCUAGGAUUGGUACACAACUUGUUAAUUUGGACUAUCGGUCAUAUGUGCUCUUAUUUUCUCCUAUUGACUUAUAAUUUGAUGUGUUUUAUGUUUGAAGGAUUUUGGAUAUAUGAGAUGAGAUGAGCUUACGUGAUUUGGUUAUAACUUGGUAUUUGGAGAUUUGGAUUAUUAUCUGAACGGAUUAUUUUUAUCAUUAUUUCUGUUGGAUACUUGAGAAGUAAAA